AGUAGCCGCGGUAAUUCCAGCUCCAAUAGCGUAUAUUAAAGUUGUUGCAGUUAAAAAGCUCGUAGUUGAAUUUCGGGAUCAAUUAAUUGGUCGUGCCUCUGGUACGUACUGAUUUUAUUGGUUUCUCCCUUCUGACGAACCAUGAUGUCAUUAAUUUGAUGUCGUGGAGAAUCAGGACUGUUACUUUGAAAAAAUUAGAGUGUUUAAAGCAAGCUAACGCUUGAAUACAUUAGCAUGGAAUAAUGAAAUAGGACGUUUGAUCCUAUUUUGUUGGUUUCUAGGAUCGACGUAAUGAUUAAUAGGGAUAGUUGGGGGCAUUAGUAUUCAAUUGUCAGAGGUGAAAUUCUUGGAUUUAUUGAAGACUAACUACUGCGAAAGCAUUUGCCAAGGAUGUUUUCAUUAAUCAAGAACGAAAGUUAGGGGAUCGAAGACGAUCAGAUACCGUCGUAGUCUUAACCAUAAACUAUGCCGACUAGGGAUCGGAUGAUGUUAAUUUUUUAAUGACUCAUUCGGCGCCUUA
Molecule: ribosomal RNA, 520 nt
Filed under: uncultured Glomus
Lineage: Eukaryota; Fungi; Glomeromycota; Glomeromycetes; Glomerales; Glomeraceae
Description: SSU rRNA
Rfam family: Eukaryotic small subunit ribosomal RNA
Source: RNAcentral